Molecule: long non-coding RNA, 235 nt
Filed under: Elaeis guineensis (African oil palm)
Lineage: Eukaryota; Viridiplantae; Streptophyta; Magnoliopsida; Arecales; Arecaceae
Description: long non-coding RNA (EGUI_LNC021732)
Source: RNAcentral
UUGUAAUAAUUUUCUAGAUAUACAUAAGGCAGGUCGGACUAAGCCUCCUUUAGAUAAUUGUAUUGGUUCAAACUCAUAAUUUUUAUAAAAUUUUAGAUUUAAUCAUCCAAAUAAAUCCUAAACAGAUAUAAUUUCUAUAAAGAUAGAUAAGUUUAGUAUUGCUUGGGAGGUUUGUAAUAAACUGCAUUUUGUGGGUGGUUGUAUCUUUUUGUAAGAGCCUGGCUUCUUUUGUAAU